CGCGCAGGCGGGUUUGUAAGUCAGAGGUGAAAUCCUACAGCUCAACUGUAGAACUGCCUCUGAUACUGCAGGCCUUGAGUUCGGAAGAGAGAGAUGGAAUUCCAGGUGUAGUGGUGAAAUACGUAGAUAUCUGGAAGAACACCAGUGGCGAAGGCGAUCUCUUGGUCCGUAACUGACGCUGAGGCGCGAAAGCGUGGGGAGCAAACA
Molecule: ribosomal RNA, 207 nt
Filed under: uncultured bacterium
Lineage: Bacteria
Description: partial 16S ribosomal RNA
Rfam family: Bacterial small subunit ribosomal RNA
Source: RNAcentral